This 61-nucleotide ribosomal RNA is filed under the name Xylariales sp. RNAcentral describes it as "partial 28S ribosomal RNA". Lineage: Eukaryota; Fungi; Ascomycota; Sordariomycetes; Xylariales. The record is from RNAcentral.
GGUUGACCUCGGAUCAGGUAGGAAUACCCGCUGAACUUAAGCAUAUCAAUAAAGCGGAGGA